AAACGAAAAUCAAUUUGUAUAUAUUGAUGAGUUAAAAAUACAAUAUGCACAAAAUGAUGAGUCACCUUUAGUUAAUGAAUUUUCAGCGGAAUUAUUAGUCGAUCAAACUGUUUUUGAUAAAGCGAUGUCAGAUUUAUAUUUAAAUCC
This 147-nucleotide small RNA is filed under the name Staphylococcus aureus. RNAcentral's name for it is "Antisense". Lineage: Bacteria; Bacillati; Bacillota; Bacilli; Caryophanales; Staphylococcaceae. The record is from RNAcentral.